RNAcentral lists this ribosomal RNA (459 nucleotides) under uncultured bacterium. RNAcentral describes it as "partial 16S ribosomal RNA". It matches the Rfam family "Bacterial small subunit ribosomal RNA", at positions 338 to 795 of the family's 1533-position model. The record is from RNAcentral.
CCUACGGGAGGCAGCAGUGAGGAAUAUUGGUCAAUGGGCGCAAGCCUGAACCAGCCAAGUCGCGUGAGGGAAGACUGCCCUAUGGGUUGUAAACCUCUUUUGUCAGGGCGCAAUAAUCGCUACGUGUAGCCAUAUGCCAGUACCUUAUGAAUAAGCAUCGGCUAACUCCGUGCCAGCAGCCGCGGUAAUACGGAGGAUGCGAGCGUUAUCCGGAUUUAUUGGGUUUAAAGGGUGCGUAGGCGGUAUAUUAAGUUAGUGGUAAAAUGGCGGGGCUCCACCUUGUUGAGCCAUUGAAACUGGUUUACUAGAGUGAGGGAGAGGUAGGCGGAAUACGUGAAGUAGCGGUGAAAUGCUUAGAUAUAACGCAGAACCCCGAUAGCGAAGGCAGCAUACCGGCGCGUUACUGACGCUCAUGCACGAGAGUGUGGGUAGCGAACAGGAUUAGAUACCCGAGUAGUC